UGAUCUCUGCUAGCUGAGGAACAUUUCUGC
RNAcentral lists this non-coding RNA (30 nucleotides) under Macaca fascicularis (crab-eating macaque). Lineage: Eukaryota; Metazoa; Chordata; Mammalia; Primates; Cercopithecidae. RNAcentral also lists the same sequence under 1 other name. The record is from RNAcentral.